GGGCAUGUAGCUCAGUUGGAUAGAGCGUCAGAUUCCGGUUCUGAGAGUCGUGGGUUCGAAUCCCUCCAUGCUCG
This 74-nucleotide transfer RNA is filed under the name Prochlorococcus sp. AH-736-P13. RNAcentral's name for it is "tRNA-Arg". It matches the Rfam family "tRNA". From Rfam's summary of the family: Transfer RNA (tRNA) molecules are approximately 80 nucleotides in length. The record is from RNAcentral. Lineage: Bacteria; Bacillati; Cyanobacteriota; Cyanophyceae; Synechococcales; Prochlorococcaceae.